RNAcentral lists this ribosomal RNA (253 nucleotides) under uncultured bacterium. Its description in RNAcentral is "partial 16S ribosomal RNA". It matches the Rfam family "Bacterial small subunit ribosomal RNA", at positions 524 to 776 of the family's 1533-position model. The record is from RNAcentral.
UACGGAGGGUGCAAGCGUUAUCCGGAUUCACUGGGUUUAAAGGGUGCGUAGGCGGGCAGGUAAGUCAGUGGUGAAAUCUCCGAGCUUAACUUGGAAACUGCCGUUGAUACUAUCUGUCUUGAAUAUUGUGGAGGUGAGCGGAAUAUGUCAUGUAGCGGUGAAAUGCUUAGAUAUGACAUAGAACACCAAUUGCGAAGGCAGCUGGCUACACGAAUAUUGACACUGAUGCACGAAAGCGUGGGGAUCAAACAGG